UGACGGGACCCGCACAAGCGUGGAGCAUGUGGUUUAAUUCGACGAUACGCGAAGAACCUUACCUGGCCUUGACAUACUAAAAAGCUUUAAGAGAUUAGAGUGUGCUAGCUUGCUAGAAUUUAGAUACAGGUGCUGCACGGCUGUCGUCAGCUCGUGUCGUGAGAUAUUGGGUUAAGUCCCGCAACGAGCGCAACCCUCGUGUUUAGUUGCUAACAGUUCGGCUGAGAACUCUAAACAGACUGCCUACGCAAGUAGGAGGAAGGUGAGGACGACGUCAAGUCAUCAUGGCCCUUACGGCCAGGGCUACACACGUGCUACAAUGGGGUAUACAAAGAGCAGCGAUACGGUGACGUGGAGCAAAUCUAGAAAAUGCCUCUCAGUUCGGAUUGUAGUCUGCAACUCGACUACAUGAAGUUGGAAUCGCUAGUAAUCGUAGAUCAGCAAUGCUACGGUGAAUACGUUCCCGGGUCUU
Molecule: ribosomal RNA, 472 nt
Filed under: uncultured Arcobacter sp.
Lineage: Bacteria; Pseudomonadati; Campylobacterota; Epsilonproteobacteria; Campylobacterales; Arcobacteraceae
Description: bacterial SSU rRNA
Rfam family: Bacterial small subunit ribosomal RNA
Source: RNAcentral